GACGAACGCUGGCGGCGUGCUUAACACAUGCAAGUCGAGCGGUAAGGCCCUCGGGUACGACGAGCGGCGAACGGGUGAGUAACACGUGGGUGACCUGCCUCUAGCUCUGGGAUAAGCCUGGGAAACUGGGUCGUAAUACCGGAUAUGACUCCACGGCGCAUGUUGUGGGGUGGAAAGCCUUGUGUGGCUAGAGAUGGGCCCGCGGCCUAUCAGCUUGUUGGUGGGGUGAUGGCCUACCAAGGCGACGACGGUAGCCGGCCUGAGAGGGCGACCGGCCGACACUGGGACUGAGACACGGCCCAGACUCCUACGGGAGGCAGCAGUGGGGAAUCUUGCGCAAUGGGCGAAAGCCUGACGCAGCGACGCCGCGUGA
RNAcentral lists this ribosomal RNA (373 nucleotides) under uncultured bacterium. RNAcentral's name for it is "bacterial SSU rRNA". It matches the Rfam family "Bacterial small subunit ribosomal RNA", at positions 28 to 404 of the family's 1533-position model. The record is from RNAcentral.